Molecule: unclassified non-coding RNA, 3360 nt
Filed under: Portunus trituberculatus (swimming crab)
Lineage: Eukaryota; Metazoa; Arthropoda; Malacostraca; Decapoda; Portunidae
Description: glutamate receptor ionotropic, NMDA 2B-like, transcript variant X9
Source: RNAcentral
GGAGGAGGAAAAAAAGGAGGAAAUCGUGGUGGUAGAGGUGGAGGAGGCGGAGGAGGAGGAGAAAGGGGAAGGAAGCGGAGAGUGGAAGGCGGGCAGGAUGAGAAGGGCGGCAGUGGUGGUGUGUCUGGUGUCCGUGGUCGCCACCCUCACCCUCGCCCCGCCUGGCAGUCAGUACCCCCGCAAACAGGCCAAGCAGCGCCAUCCCCAGCCAUGGCAGCGCUCGCAACACCCGACGCGGAAGUCCAGCCCGCAGCUCACCACGCCGCGGGACGGACUCAAGCCGGGUGACAAGAAGAACCUGUCCAUAGGCGUGGUCUUGCCGCACUCCACCUUCCAGCGGCGGCGCUACGAGAAGGCCAUCAAGGAGGCGCUCUUCAACAUGCAGCGGGACCCCAUCUUGCACGAGACCUUCCGCCACUACCACUUCACCUACGACGAAGUGGUCUUAAGCACCAUGCACCAUUCCUCCAGCCCCACCAAGAUCCUGGAAACAUUGUGUGACAGUUUCCUCCCGAGCAACGUGUCCGCCAUCCUAUAUCUCUUCAACUCGGAAACCUAUGGACGAUCAACAGCCUCCGUGCAGUACUUCUUCCAGCUGGCCGGCUACCUAGGGAUCCCUGUCAUAGCUUGGAACGCCGACAACUCUGGCCUGGAGCGGGAUCGGCGCACGUCCAGCCCGCAGCUCCAGUUGGCGCCCUCCAUCGAGCACCAGGCAGCGGCGAUGCUAUCCAUACUGCAGCGUUACUCGUGGCCAAAGUUCGCUGUGGUGACUUCCCUUAUCGCAGGGCACAACGACUUCAUCCAGGCCCUGCGUGACCUGAUUCUGGAGCUCCCUGCCAAGAGGUCAGGUCAGGAGUUCACCAUCACCAACACAGUGCGCGUGAGUGACCCGGAGAUAGACCUGAGGGAGUUGGUGAGUUCAGAGGCGCGUAUCCUUUUUCUGUACUCCACUCGCCAGGAGGCCGCCGCCAUCAUGAGCAGCGCGCAGAGACUAGGCCUGAAUGGCACCAACUACCUGUGGAUCGUGACCCAGAGUGUGAUCCAGAGCAACGCUGACGCACCGGGAGAGUUUCCUGUCGGGAUGUUAGGUGUGCAUUUCAAGACAACGGAGGAGGCACUUAUAGAGGAGAUCAAGAACGCAAUGCUGGUGUUCGGGUGGGGACUGCAUGGCCACGUAAAAGAUGAAAUGAGUAGAAAUGUGGUGCCCAGUCUCGCCCCCGCCCUCUCUUGUGACACCGGGGAUGCUAGAUGGAGAGGAGGUGAUAAAUUCUACAGGUUUCUCAAGAACGUGAGCCUGCAGGCAGACAACAAGCCGGCCACGCCCAAGCUGGAGUUCAACAAUGACGGGACGAGACGCGCCGUUGCUCUCCGCAUCAUGAACCUGCGGCCAGAUGUCUCCAGGAAGCUUACUUGGGAAGAGAUCGGAGUGUGGCGGUCAGGCAAGGAGCAGGCAGGCUCACUGGAGGUCAAGGACAUAGUGUGGCCCGGAUACUCCCACGUUCCCCCCAAUGGCAUCCCAGAAAAGUUUCAUCUCAAGAUCACCUUCAUGGAGGAGCCGCCCUUCAUCAACAUGGAUCCGCCAAACCCAGAGACAGGAAUGUGCACCGCUAACAAGGGCGUCCAUUGCAGGAUUGCCUCAGACGAGAUGAUGCAAGAAGUCAACGUGAGCUGGGCAAUGCGAAACUCAAGCUACUUUCGCUGCUGUUCCGGAUUUUGCAUCGACUUGCUGGUAAAGUUCUCUCAGGAUCUUGGCUUCUCCUACGACUUCUUCAGGGUAGAGGACGGCUUCUGGGGCGCUAUUGUGAACGGGAAGUGGACGGGUUUGCCAGGAGCCAUCAUCAACGGGAAGGCGGAUAUGAUUAUGACGUCUAUCAAGAUCAACUCAGAGAGGGAGGAGGUGCUGGACUUCACGGUGCCCUUCCUCGACACUGGCAUCGCAAUCGUGGUGGCCAAGCGGACUGGUAUUAUCUCCCCGACGGCUUUCUUGGAGCCUUUCGACACCGCCUCGUGGAUGUUGGUGGCGCUGGUGGCGAUACAAGUGGCCGCGGUGUCAAUCUUCCUCUUUGAGUGGCUCAGUCCUUCAGGAUACAACAUGAAGCUCCAGCCAACAGCCAGCCACCGCUUCUCUCUGUGCCGCACUCUCUGGAUGGUGUGGGCUAUUCUGUUCCAGGCUGCCGUCAAUGUGGACUGUCCCCGCGGCUACACGGCCAGGUUCAUGGGUAACGUGUGGGCGAUGUUUGCUCUGAUCUUCCUGGCUAUCUACACCGCCAACCUCGCUGCCUUCAUGAUCACCCGCGAGGAGUUUUAUGACCUGUCUGGUAUUGAGGACAAGAGGCUGCAGAACCCAACCUCCAUGAAGCCUCCCUUUAAGUUCGCCACUACCCUGCACGGCAACACAGACGUGCUCAUGAAGAAAUCUUUCCCUGUGAUGCACGCCUACAUGCGCCAGUUCAACCAAACCAGCCCGGUGGAGGGAGUGCGGGCCGUCAAGAAGGGGAACCUGGACGCCUUCCUGUACGACGCCACGGUCAUGGAGUACCUGGUGGGGCAGGAUGACGAGUGCCGCCUCCUCACCGUGGGUUCCUGGUACGCCCUCACUGGCUAUGGCGUCGCCUUUGCCAGGAAGUCCAAGUACCUCGAGAUGUUCAACGAGCUCAUCAUGAAGUACAGAGAAAACGGGGAUCUAGAGAGGAUAGCACGGUUCUGGUUCACCGGAGCCUGCAGACCGAACAAGCAACAGAAGUCAUCGAGCAAACCAUUAGCGCUGGAGCAGUUCAUGUCUACCUUCCUCUUACUCGGGUGUGGCAUUCUACUAGCGCUCCUCCUGCUUGGGUUCGAACACAUCUACUUCAAGUACUUCCGUCAGUACGUGGCCAAAUCCGAGAAGGGAAGCUGCUGUUCUCUUCUCAGUAUGAGCAUGGGCAAGUCUCUGAGCCUGCGGGGGGCGGUGCAAGAGGCGCAGGACGUACUGAGGACCCACCGCUGCCAGGAUCCGCUGUGCGACACCCACCUGUGGCGCGUGAAGCACGAGCUGGACAUGGCACGCCUGCGCAUCCACCACUUAGAGCGCCAGAUGGUCACUCACGGACUCAGACCAGCCGCCAAUGUCUCCUUGCAGGGAAGGUUCCACCCCAGCGACGCCUGACCCAAGCAAACCGAGGGAGGAGACGCGGAACCACGUGAUUGCCAACGAACCAAUCAGGGGUCCGCUCCUCGCCGCCAGUGGCAGCACGAGACUUCGGAGACGAGAAGUGGCGGAGUUGGAAACCGUUCUUUGAGGUCCACACAAGACCUGGUGGCCUGGCCGACUACCACCCCGAAGGUUAAGUACUACAGGCUCAAGGUCUGAGUCACGCACUG